Molecule: long non-coding RNA, 570 nt
Filed under: Homo sapiens (human)
Lineage: Eukaryota; Metazoa; Chordata; Mammalia; Primates; Hominidae
Description: HSALNT0261632
Source: RNAcentral
AGUGCCAAAGAGAAUUCAGAACUACGUCCACUGGUCCAGUAACCCAUGGCCUGGCCCUGACUGGAGAUUUCGGCACUCCACAUCCUCCUGGUCCUUCUCCUCCAAGUCUGCCCACCCCUGAGGUUUCCCCGGGGGUAGCACUGUGUGUGCCCAGAAGGGAGUCAGUUUCCCCAGGAAGUAGCGGGGAUGAUUCCCGAGCGAUGAGGAAGCUAGCAGGAUGGAAGAGGACUUGAGGACUUAUUGAUGAGAUGCGGACACACAGCGAGAGGCAUGGAGUUAAGCAGAAAUCGGAGAGCACUUGGGAACGACGUGGGGCUGUGAUAAGAUGGUGGUGCUGGGCAGUAGCAGAGGGAUCUGGGAAGAUUUAGGGAGGUGUCUUUGAACUUGGGCCUAGAAAGCUGAGCCAGGCGUAGGUCAGGAGGAAAGGCCGUGAAAAUGCCUGGCCUGGGUGCACAUGGGAAACCACAGGCAGUGGUUGGGGUGGUUGGUAUGGGCUGGAGGGUGAGGGUGUGUGCGUGGCAGAGUGGAGAGAAAUGAGGAGGGGGAAGUCACUGCGUAAUAAGGACAAUG